GCUGUGCGCACCAUCACGUGGUGAUCCUCGACCCUCUUACUUAGUAAAAUUGUCAUGAUUGAGGUAAAGGUGGAAGGGAAGAGAGCAAAGAGGAGAUAAACAAAAUAAAAAAGGUUAAGCGCAGCUGUUUCCACCACCAUCAUCUUGUUUUUGGUGGGCAAUAAUGUGUGAGUUUUUUUAAUUAAUUAUUACUUUAAUAUCCACGCCACUGAGAAACAGGGUAUUAGCUAUGAAAAACACCAAUGAUUCCUUCCUUCUUUCAUCUUUCCUUCUUCCCUUCCUCCAUCAAUAUGACAUCGCUGGAGUGUUUGAUGUCUAUAGAGCUAAUUUGAAUCAUUUUCUGUACUAAAAAUUGAACUUUGGUUGGUUCGUCCAGCCUCUACAGUUUAGCCUGGGAUUACGUUCAGAAUUUUCGAUGAUUUAACUUUGUGUGGAACUGUUGAUCUACAACCAACCAGGGCUUUUGAGGAUGUGAAGACUGCUUGGGACGGAUCCCUUGUUUACCUUGAAGCGUUGUUUAGGAGGGAUGCGGGAUGGGAUGGGUGUUAUGUGGUCAUCAAUUACGUAUCCAUCCAUUGGCAUGGAAUAAGUCGUGUGUGCGCGCAUGGCAGAACUUGGUCAGGACUUCAACUGUAAUGAAGAUAGAAGAAGAAGAAGAAAAAAAAAAGCAACCCUCAACUUUGAGUCUGCUAUCCCUCCAAAGAUACAAGACCUCUUUCUUUAUGGUUUGCUAUGUGGUCCCAGCUCUGCCAAUAAAAGGUCAAACUGCCCCACUGACAUCCUGAAAUAUGCACGAAAGCAGGC
Molecule: long non-coding RNA, 804 nt
Organism: Oreochromis aureus
Lineage: Eukaryota; Metazoa; Chordata; Actinopteri; Cichliformes; Cichlidae
Source: Ensembl